Molecule: transfer RNA, 73 nt
Filed under: Methanobacteriota archaeon
Lineage: Archaea; Methanobacteriati; Methanobacteriota
Description: Euryarchaeota archaeon tRNA-Lys
Rfam family: tRNA
About the family: Transfer RNA (tRNA) molecules are approximately 80 nucleotides in length. Their secondary structure includes four short double-helical elements and three loops (D, anti-codon, and T loops).
Source: RNAcentral
GGGCUGCUGGCGCAAUUGGUAGCGCAUCGGACUUUUAAUCCGCUGGUUCCGGGUUCGAGUCCCGGGCAGCCCA